RNAcentral lists this long non-coding RNA (6932 nucleotides) under Olea europaea subsp. europaea. The record is from RNAcentral. Lineage: Eukaryota; Viridiplantae; Streptophyta; Magnoliopsida; Lamiales; Oleaceae.
GCGGAUAACACAGCCGAUUUGACACGCAAUGUGCACAUGCAAAAUUGUAGCGUAAACAGUAAAAACAUAUACAUACACAGCGACAUAUACACAUCUAUGUAUAUAAAGGUGUAUAAAUCUUCACUCUUUUCCUCUCUUUAUACCCAACCCUAUCGCUCUCUCGUCUCUCUCUGUCGGUGUCUCCACACCAGCCGAAGGUUCCUUCUGAUCCAAACAUUUUUUCCUAUUUUCGCACGCAUAAAUUAUUUAGAAGGGUUUUAGGGUUUCAUAAGUUGGGGUGUCGAUGUUUUGUUCCGUUGUUCUAUGAUUGUUGGUGAGGAGCGGUGGCGGUGCGUCGUCUUUUGGGUUUUGCCUUGGAGAUUUAGAGAAGAGGGUUGUUAUAUGAGGGAUUGGCUUAACCUUAAUAAGAAUAAUUCGACGAGGUGGGACUGCUCAUUUGCGAUCCGAAGCCGUGGACGUUGGGGCAAAUGUGGUUGAGUUUUCUGGGAUAAUUUGUUCGAAUACACCGUGAAUUGGUUUACUUGUUGCACUAAUUAAAUUUAAGAUCUUCUGCAGUUUUUGGUUGAGGGGUUUUCGGAAAUUGAAUUUUCCGAACAAUGCAGCCGGAUCAUCGAAAGAAAGUGAGUUUUUUUUCUCAGUUUUAUAACUUUUCUGAAAAUUUUUAUUCAAUUUUGAGUAGAAUAGAAAAAAAUUGAGCUGUUAUUGAUGUAAUUUAUGGAUGCAAUUUGUGUGACUUCGUAACUGUUUGAUUAAAAUUCAAAGGAUGUGGCUUAUAUUCAUUCAUUUAUCUUAAGUCCAUUAAGGGUUUACAUUUCAAACGGAGGAAAGGAUUUCCUCUAAUCUCUGGCGUAUUUAAAGACUGAGCUGUUCUUGGUCUGAUUUGUAAAUUCAAUUAUGUAAGUUUGGCUGUUAAUUUAAUUGAUCGAUUGAAUAAAUUAAUAAUGAUUGAAUAUCGAUGUUGGAAUUAUGUUUGGACCAUUUGGUAUUUUUAGAUCUGGGUCAGUUACAUUUUGCACGCUGCCGUUAUCCAAGAAAUGAAUGCUUUUGAUUUUUCAACUCCUUAAUUAUCUUAAUCGAUGCCUUAUUAAUGAAAAUGAGAUCUUAUGUUUCUUUAUUGGCGUUUGAUUAUGUUACAUUUGAUUUAGUGGGAUUUAUCCUCUUUCCCGUUUUGCUUUCUUUUUUAAUACUUAAAGAAUUUACUUAGAUUAUUUCGUCCUUCCGUCUGAAAUUCAAUUGGUAUGUCCAUGAAAAGAAACAAUUCUUUUUGCUGUCAUUUCACUGCUGGUGUUAUAUGUUAUGAGGUUACCUUCCUUUCGUUAAAUCUGGAUUCAUUUUGAUCUUGACAUUUUUUAUCACUUUUGCAUUUCCAAUAUUAGCUCUGUAACUGAAAUUUUUACUUUUUGUUGCUUUUGAAAUAAUCAUUGUCUUUUCCAAAACAAAGAAAUUACCUUUUAAGGGAAAGAAAACAAAUUUAAGGACUUUAUGGUUUGAGCUGCAGUGGUAUAAACAAUUCUACCAAGUCCCAAGCGGAGUUGCAACUUUUCAGUGGCACGCGACCAAUGAUAAGAGUAACACAACACAUAAUUCCACACUUUAUUUCCUCAGUUGUCUUCGUGUUAUUGUUUUAGAAAUUUAUAGAGAUGGGGAAGAUGUUAUUGCAAGUGGAGGAUGGGGAAAAAAGAGAGGACGAACUGAUAAGUUAUGUUGUAGAGGAUAGGGACCAAUUUGACUAUGUAUUAUUUUCUAUUUUAUCUAUUUUAUGAUUGCUUUCAAAUUAGACUCUUAAUUUUCUACAAUUUUUUAAUAUUGAUUUAUAAGUUGUAUACUGUUUCUUUACUAACAUAAAUUUGUGUUUCUUUGUGUUGCUUUGAUUUUAUCAUUAGUUUGUAUUGAGGUUUACACCUCUCAUCAAUGAGGUAAAAUGCUUUGGUAUCCAGCUAAGCCUUUGUAAACAUUUAAUGGAUGAAGAGUCUGACAUUAUUUGUUUAUGAGACGUCAGUUAUCAGUGUUUGCAUAAAUACAAUUAAGAUAACUCACGCUGAUGAGGAUCUUGUCUUGUUUAAUAAUUGUUUUGUAACAUGAAAGACAGUUUAUUUCCCUUCCUAUUCUCAGGACUAAUUUUCUUUGUGUUUCAACAGAGAUCAACAGAGAUGGAGUUUUUCUCUGACUAUGGUGAUGCGAAUAGGUUCAAAAUUCAGGAGGUCAUAGGAAAAGGGAGCUAUGGUGUUGUUUGCUCUGCAAUAGACACUCAUACUCGUGAAAAAGUCGCAAUAAAGAAAAUACACGACAUUUUUGAACACAUUUCUGAUGCUGCUCGAAUUCUUCGUGAGAUAAAGCUUCUCAGGCUUUUGAGACACCCAGACAUUGUUGAAAUCAAACACAUCAUGCUUCCACCUUCAAGGAGAGAUUUUAAGGAUAUAUAUGUUGUUUUUGAGCUAAUGGAAUCAGAUCUUCACCAAGUCAUAAAGGCCAAUGAUGACUUGACUCGAGAACACUAUCAAUUUUUUCUGUACCAGUUGCUUCGUGCACUUAAAUACAUUCACACAGGUUAAAUCGCUUUCAUGUCUAUUUUCCCCAGUGUUAUCUUGUUUUUAGAAGAAGGAUAAUUGAUCAAUCCAUUAAUUUGCUAAUCAGUUUGUAUUCCUACAUCAAAAAACAUUUAUAUAAUUAGAGGAUUUAUAGUGUGACCUGCAGCUAUUUCCCUAAAACUUGAUAAUAAGAUAAAUUUUUGCCAGUUUGUUGCAUACGUUGUUCUUUCCUAUUUAUCAUUUUCAUCUNNNNNNNNNNNNNNNNNNNNNNNNNNNNNNNNNNNNNNNNNNNNNNNNNNNNNNNNNNNNNNNNNNNNNNNNNNNNNNNNNNNNNNNNNGGGGGGGGGGGGGGGGGGGCUGGUGAAUUGUGCUUUAUGAUUUGGUAAAUAUAACUAACCAUGAAGUUUUUGUCUGCAGCUAAUGUUUAUCAUCGAGAUCUAAAACCCAAAAAUAUUCUGGCAAAUGCGAAUUGUAAACUCAAAAUAUGUGAUUUUGGGUUGGCUAGAGUAGCUUUCAGUGACACGCCGACGACAAUAUUUUGGACGGUAUCUCAGACAUCUAAUUGUUUAUAUUUUAUUUUUUUCAUUCUUCAGUGCCAUUUAUCCAUUUCCUAAGAGUUGGGAGUUGAUUGUUUGUUGGAUGGUGGUAAAAAAUACAGGAUUAUGUUGCUACAAGAUGGUAUAGGGCUCCAGAGUUGUGUGGUUCAUUUUUCUCCAAGGUAUUAUGCUGCAUUUUUCUGUGCUUAUUUUUCAAGUAAUGCAUAUUUUUUAAUUUAUAUUGCUACUUUAUGCUAACUAGAAAAUAUAAAGAACGUAUGUUUUUUUCUUUUAGCUAUCUGUCACAAAUUUUCACUUCAUCAAGAUUUAAAUUUCAAUUUGGUCCUGUUUGACUCACAUUAUUUCAAAAAAUAUAUAUUUUUAAACAGUGAUUUGACAUCAUUUUAACCACACAUUUUUCAAUAAAAUAAUAUUACACAUAAAUCCAAAAUUUUUCCUUAUUUUUUAACCACACAUUUCUAUAUAUAUAUAGGCCAAAAACCAGAAAAUGGCUAGGACUUUUGGUCUAUAAUUCUGUAUAUAGUAGCUUGCUAGACUUGAAAGGAAGAGUCUCAUGCGCCAUUAAUCAAUAAAUCAAUCUAUUUUAAAGUGUCUCACUGAAGCACCUAUAGCAUAAACAAUAGUGGUCUAGUUGAGGGCAAGGAUGUGAUAAAAAUGUUAAAAAAGGAUUAUUUGCUGUAUUGUUUAAUACUCUAUCUUGUUAUGUUAUACAGAUGUCUGCACCUCUGAAUUAUGAUGUCAUGAUUGCUUCUUGGGUUAUUAUCUAUUAUAACUAAGUUUGUUACAGUUCCAUGAUUUAUAAUGAAUGGCUAGUCCGUAGUAUUAUAUCUAAUAUUUGUCUGAGCUCAAUCACAAAUGUCAAUGUUUAUUUUUUAUGGAAUCUGUGCAGUAUACCCCUGCAAUUGAUAUAUGGAGUAUAGGCUGCAUUUUUGCUGAGGUUUUGACUGGGAAGCCACUGUUUCCUGGAAAGAAUGUUGUUCACCAGCUAGAUUUGAUAACUGAUCUUCUUGGCACACCUUCCAUGGAUACCAUUUCACGAGUAUGAAUCACCUCCUUUAUUUAUUAAAUAAUUGUUAUUUUACAAGUUUACGCAUCAUUAAUAGAUAUAUGCACCUGCUCUCUGUAUUUAGUUCAAUAUGUUUUUGGUUUAGGUGCGAAAUGAAAAGGCUCGGAGAUAUCUAACCAGCAUGCGCAAGAAGCAGCCUGUGCUCUUUGCUCAGAAGUUUCCAAAUGCCGAUCCUUUGGCUCUCAGACUAUUAGAGAGGCUACUUGCUUUUGAUCCAAAGGACCGUCCAACUGCCGAAGAGGUUUUAUUUGCCCUAUUGUUUUAUAAAAAUAGCAAAACUUAUUUUGACGAUAUGACAUCUACAUUUGCCCUUUUUCUUUUUUCUUUUUUUUGUGCUUACUUUGUGAGGAUCUUCAAUGCGAAUAUUGCUUUCCUUCAUAAAAUUCUUAUUUGUCGAAAUAGGAGAUCCAUUUGAUUACACUGUCCCUAUUCCCUAUAGAUGUAUCACACUUUCUCUUGGGAAGUUAUGAUAUCUUUAUAUUGAUUUUGUGGAGCUUCUCUGUUUUUGUGUUUUGUCAGGCCUUGGCUGAUCCUUACUUUAAGGGAUUGUCCAGAAUCGAAAGGGAACCAUCUUGCCAGCCCAUUUCGAAGAUGGAAUUUGAAUUUGAGAGGCGAAGGGCUACAAAGGAGGACAUACGAGAAUUGAUAUUCUGUGAGAUAUUAGAGUACCAUCCUCAGCUGCGUAAAGACUACCUCAAUGGAAUUGAGAGAACCAAUUUUCUGUAUCCGAGGUAAUAACAUUUUUCUUGUUCUUUUUCGUUGCUUACUGUCUCUUCACUUGAGCACAUAAAUUUAUUGAUGAUUGUGGUGCUUUUCUCGUGUUCAGUGCCGUUGACCAAUUCAAAAAGCAGUUCGCUCACUUAGAAGAAAAUGGUGCAAAUGGACCUGUGAUUCCACUUGAGAGAAAGCAUGUUUCUCUUCCUCGGUAUGCAGAUAACAUAUUUUCUAGAUGUUGUGUAUUUUAUUGUCUGUUUCUUUUGAACCAUAGUUGUACGAAAUAGUGAGCUGCAUAAAAAUAAAAAUAAAAAAUAAAAAAAAUGGAAGAUGGAGAAAUAUUAAAAUAUAAAUAAUUGCUGUCUUCAUAUUAUUCAGCAUUCUUUGAACAUUGUUAAAGAUUCCUUUAUNNNNNNNNNNNNNNNCUGAAAAAUGUUAUAGUGAAAGUAGAGUUCUAUUGGGUGCUUAUGGAAGUGUCUCAUUUGGUGCACUAUAUGCAUUCUUUUAAUUUUAGUUGUUUAUACCGCGUUACUACGUGUCCUUCAUUGCACCAUUCAUGUUUGUCUCUCAUAUCUGAUAUAGCAGAGGAUAAUCUUUCUGCUCUAUGUGAUUCUAAUAAGUUUGAGUACUUAAUUUUAUGGUUUUCUGCAGGUCUACUAUUGUACAUUCAAAUUCAAUCCCUGCAAAAGAACAACCAACUGUUUCUAAUAUAAAGGACCGGCAGAAUGGUGACGAAGCAUGCAGUAGAAACUCCAGAGAUUCUGAUGGGCUUCAUAAUUGUCUAUCCCGAACCUUGCAACCACCGCAGAGGAUACCACAAGGUACUUUUACGUCAAAACUUGUUGAUCUCUUAUUGUUGCUUUCAUUUAAUUAUUAUGCAUUUUUCUGGUGAUUUUUUUCCUUCACUGUUUAAUUGUUUGAAACUACUAUUGCUCAGCCAAACCAGGACAUGGUGGUGGGCAAGUUUUACCAUAUGAGAGUGGAAAUGCCAUCAAAGAAACAUGUGAUCCACGAUCUUUAGUCAGAAACAGAGUCCUGUCUCCCCAGGUUAUUCCUUUGGCCUACUGUUACAAUAGAACUAGCACAGGAAAACAGGAAAGACCUGCACCGGAGACGGAGGGGGAGUUGUCUAAAACUUCUAAACAAAUACCUCAUUGUGGCAUGGCUGCCACCAAAUUAGCUCCAGAUAUAGCCAUUAACAUUGAUAGCAACCCAUUCUAUAUGACCCGAGCUGGAGUGACGAAGGUGAACCACCAUGUCGAGGACAGAAUCACCAUAGACCCAAAUCUGCUGCAAGGAAAAGCUCAAUAUGGUGGGCUUGGUGUUGCUGCUGCCACUGCUGCAAAUGUUGCUGCUCACAGAAAAGUAGGUACCAUUCAAUAUGGUAUGGCUACAACUAUGUAUUAAAGCAGGGACAAGUUUGUGAUGGCCUGAGGAUCGAGUCUUGUUUCAGGGGUAGGGGUGGGGUGCUGCUAUCUUCUUUAAACCAACUUUCUGUAGUUGAGAUUCUCGUUAAAAAUUUGUGUGGGAGCUAUACAGUUUCAAUCUCUUUGAGAUGAGAUCUUCACCUUACCACCACCAUUCUCCUCUCUCUCACAUAUUGUAAAUACUAAUGAACACAAACUCAGCUGGGUUCAAUUUGGUGCGUGGAAAUUCGCAAGUCAGGAUCUUGCUUUGAACUUUGGAUUAUGAUACAGAUUAUGGUCAUGGCGAGAAAUGUUCUCUCUGUUGUUAGAAUUUGAGUAGAAAUAUAUACGAAAGCUACCAUAGAUACAAGUUGUCACAAAGGUACUGUAUAUCCUCAUUUGUUGUCGCCUUUCUUUUUCAAAUCGUGUCUGCAAUAAAAUGGGCAGGAUAUAAGUUAGAAACUAGCUUUACAUUUUUACAUCAUCUUAUAUGAGAUGGAUCAAACCACAUUUUGAAAAUGUUCUAACAGACAAGAGACUGGCAUUAUUCAAUCCAGUUACUUCCAUUUUGUGAAACCUUAAUCCCACUUCAGUGGGCAACAUCCGGUGACCCAUUGCAGCCACAUAAUGAAUGGGUAUAUAAAAUUAUGGUGUUUUAUUC